AUGCCAUCUGCUCUGCCGGCCGGGGUCGCAGUCACCCUCCUCCUCCUCUUCCUCCUCCUUCAGAGUAGGAAAAAAAAUGACUGUCCCCUCUUUUCCACAUUCAGCACAGCUGGCCGCAGCACCGUACGCUGGAUUAAAGGCAGCAGUAAAACACGGUCCAAGAUGAGAGGAAAGGUAGAGCCUGAGGAGGACUUGCAGUCAACCAAACCCUGGUGAUCCCUCGAGCUACCUUUUUAGACCUGGAUAAAGAGCCACUGCUCAGCCCCGUUUCCAAUUUUGCCCAGUGGCCACUCAUGGUAUUGCAGGUAAAAAAUCCAGUAAGACUGAUAGUCCACCAUUAUAACACAGACAUUUGUAAAACUACUGACAGGACACCUCGAUCCCAAAACUUGGAAACACAUACUGUACAUAUUUUACCAAGGUGCAAAAGCCAUAUUUCAACAAGCAGCCCUUCUUAGCAAAUACACAUUGCUUCCCAGAUUUGCUCAGAUAUGAUGCUCUCAUUUAAAGUUUGCAUUCUUAGAAAUUCUCCACAUUGAACACAACAAAGCCAAAAUAUGUGUCAUUCCAUCCCACAGAAAUCCCCAAAACAGUUUUGUACCGCUUUGUUUGCUUUCACAUCCAGCUUUGUGUCAAAAUGCUCCCAACAGGAGGAUGAAUGAAUCAUUGAUGUGUUAAUCACAGCAGAACGGAAUAAGACCAGUGGAAACAUCGAAGCGAGACGCACAGGUGGGAACAUACACCUGCCAAGUAAGUCGUCUGAUUCAUGUUCGCGGAAGAAUAAACUGAGUUUUACAUAUGUACAGUCCAGGCGGUGACACUUAUGACUCCCAGGAAGAAGAUUCUGCAUGUUGGGCGUCAUACAAACCCCUAUUUUUAUGCCAGCUAUUUCAAAAUGGAAAUACAACAAACGGAUUAUAUAAAAAUGACGUAAUUCACACCAUUUAUUUGUUCCCCUGAGGUAAAGAAACUCCCUCGCCCAAUCCUUUCCUCUCUUUCUCUCUCUCUCUCCCUGACACACACACACAGACACACACACAUACACACACAGGUCUGCGGGUCACGGAGCAGCGAGACAGCUGAGCCAUUUAUCAGGAUCCCUGGGGAAACAAUUACACCCCACCAGGCAGCAGAGCCAGGACAGGGGCUGGGAAUUAAUGAUGGGCUUAUGACUCAAGUUGAGGCAAAACUUGCAGCAGGAGGGAUGGUGUCGCUGACCAACAACCCCUCCCCGCUGCUGCUCACUGACACGGCUGUUAAUCACUUCAUUUCAGUCUCCUGUGAAACAAUCAGCAUGGUAUUCCAGUAACAAAUGUAUUAAAG
RNAcentral lists this long non-coding RNA (1323 nucleotides) under Sparus aurata (gilthead seabream). RNAcentral describes it as "lncRNA (ENSSAUG00010024442.1)". Lineage: Eukaryota; Metazoa; Chordata; Actinopteri; Spariformes; Sparidae. The record is from RNAcentral.